GUACAUGUGCUCGCCUUCACACUCUUCAUCCACUCAACCCCUGUGCACUUUAUCAGAGUUAGUAAUAGUAUUGUGGUGGCUGUUUGUUAUCCAUUGUUAGAAGCRGGCAAYCCUUUCUGGCAGUAGGCAUCAUCUCAGUUCAACUGCUACUAUGAACACUUUGACUUUAUUUAUACAAACACUUUGCUUGUUCUUGUGAAUGUGUAAUGCUCCUUGUGAGCGAAAUACAAAUAUACAACUUUCAACAACGGAUCUCUUGGCUCUCGCAUCGAUGAAGAACGCAGCGAAAUGCGAUAAGUAAUGUGAAUUGCAGAAUUCAGUGAAUCAUCGAAUCUUUGAACGCACCUUGCGCCCCUUGGUAUUCCGAGGGGCAUGCCUGUUUGAGUGUCAUGUCAUUCUCAAUCCUCUUUUUCUUAAUUGAAGAAGAGGCUUGGACUUGGAGGGUACAUCUAUGCUGGUACUGUCUGUAUCGGCUCCUCUCAAAUGCAUUAGCUGGACUGUAGUUCGCAUUGUUUGGUGUAGUAAUAGUUUUCUAUCUAUAUUCACUACAGUGCUUGCUUAGACUGUCUGCUUCCAAUAGUCCACCUAUGUGU
This 593-nucleotide unclassified non-coding RNA is filed under the name Fomitiporia punctata. Its description in RNAcentral is "partial contains ITS1, 5.8S rRNA and ITS2". The stretch from base 237 to 390 matches the Rfam family "5.8S ribosomal RNA". The record is from RNAcentral. Lineage: Eukaryota; Fungi; Basidiomycota; Agaricomycetes; Hymenochaetales; Hymenochaetaceae.